AAGUCGUAACAAGGUUUCCGUAGGUGAACCUGCGGAAGGAUCAUUAAUUGAUCAAAAUUGGAGGUUUUUUUUUCAGCUCCGGCCGAAAAUACCGCCUUUUUCCUUUGUGAACUGUCUUGUACUGUUGUUGUAUAUUAUAGUGUGUUUUCCUUGUGGAAAAUAAAAAUCUAAAGACAACUUUCAGCAAUGGAUCUCUUGGCUCUU
This 204-nucleotide unclassified non-coding RNA is filed under the name fungal sp. Its description in RNAcentral is "partial internal transcribed spacer region". The stretch from base 1 to 46 matches the Rfam family "Eukaryotic small subunit ribosomal RNA", at positions 1786 to 1831 of the family's 1831-position model. Lineage: Eukaryota; Fungi. The record is from RNAcentral.